GGCGACGGUUAUCCUAUCGCUCGGCCUUGGCUGAGAGGAAAGUCCGGGCAGCACGAGCCACCAUGCUUCCUAACGGGAAGGCACUUCGAAUAAUGCGUUAAUGUGUUAGAAGAGGUGACAGAAAGCGCCACAGAAAAGAUACCGCCUUUAGAAGUGGUUAGUGUUCAGUGUUUAGUGUGUAGUUAGAUGCCGCGAUUGUGAGUUUUCACUAAACACUAAACACUGAGCACUAAACACUGAAAAGGUAAGGGUGAAAACGCGAGGUAAGAGCUCACGACGGCGUCCGGUGACGGCGCUGAUGGCAAACCUCAUGGGCUGAAAGACCAUGUAUACCGGCAAGUCUUACGACUACAGGCUGGCUCGCUUGUUUUGCCGGGGGGUAGGUUGAUUGAGACCGUCGGCGACGACGGCCCUAGAUUGAUGAUAGGACACGACAGAACCCGGCUUACAGACCGCCGCUUUUU
This 464-nucleotide RNase P RNA is filed under the name Bacteroidales bacterium. RNAcentral's name for it is "RNase P RNA component class A". It matches the Rfam family "Bacterial RNase P class A". From Rfam's summary of the family: Ribonuclease P (RNase P) is a ubiquitous endoribonuclease, found in archaea, bacteria and eukarya as well as chloroplasts and mitochondria. Its best characterised activity is the generation of mature 5'-ends of tRNAs by cleaving the 5'-leader elements of precursor-tRNAs. Cellular RNase Ps are ribonucleoproteins. Lineage: Bacteria; Pseudomonadati; Bacteroidota; Bacteroidia; Bacteroidales. The record is from RNAcentral.